RNAcentral lists this non-coding RNA (22 nucleotides) under Arabidopsis thaliana (thale cress). Lineage: Eukaryota; Viridiplantae; Streptophyta; Magnoliopsida; Brassicales; Brassicaceae. The record is from RNAcentral.
UGAUGGAUUUCAAAGCUGUAAC